GACAUGAGGCCAUUGCAUUUUUAAAAAAAAAUUUCAUACAUUUUAAGAAAUUGCAGCUUUUGUAUCACUACCCCACUUUUCCAUGAGCGGGGUCAAAAAUGACCCCAAACAUUUCCUAUGGAAUCUCAGGGCUUAACUCUAGGAACCUUUGAUACUUAUCAACUGUGAUUGUCAGUAUACAUUUACUGUUGCACUUACACAUCUGAUGCUGCAGUCUCACCACCCAGGAGGUCAUUUUUACACAGCAACAUUCAAACAGACAAACGGACACACAAUGUAUUUUGACAUUUUUUGAUUUUUGAUUGAUUGUUUUGUAAUGAAAUGUGAAUAAAAAGUAAUAAAUGAACAUGUCAAAAAUGAAA
Molecule: long non-coding RNA, 362 nt
Organism: Notolabrus celidotus (New Zealand spotty)
Lineage: Eukaryota; Metazoa; Chordata; Actinopteri; Labriformes; Labridae
Exons: 2
Source: RefSeq, a predicted model, not a curated record